AAGACCUCAAAUCAGGUGGAAUUACCUGCUGAACUUAAGCAUAUCAAUAAGCAGAGGAAAAGAAACUAACAAGGAUUCCCCUAGUAAUGGCGAAUGAAGAGGGAAAAGCCCAAAUUGGUAAUCUGA
RNAcentral lists this ribosomal RNA (126 nucleotides) under Dasyspora segregaria. RNAcentral describes it as "partial 28S ribosomal RNA". It matches the Rfam family "Eukaryotic large subunit ribosomal RNA", at positions 1 to 125 of the family's 3401-position model. The record is from RNAcentral. Lineage: Eukaryota; Fungi; Basidiomycota; Pucciniomycetes; Pucciniales; Sphaerophragmiaceae.